ACUCUUUUAGUAUAAUUAGUACAGUUGACUUCCAAUCACCUAGCUUCAGAAUACCCUGAAAAAGAGUA
RNAcentral lists this transfer RNA (68 nucleotides) under Elephantulus edwardii (Cape elephant shrew). Its description in RNAcentral is "tRNA-Gly". The record is from RNAcentral. Lineage: Eukaryota; Metazoa; Chordata; Mammalia; Macroscelidea; Macroscelididae.